AGUGAACGCUGGCGGUAGGCCUAACACAUGCAAGUCGAACGGCAGCACAGUAAGAGCUUGCUCUUACGGGUGGCGAGUGGCGGACGGGUGAGGAAUACAUCGGAAUCUACUUUUUCGUGGGGGAUAACGUAGUGAAACUUACGCUAAUACAGCAUACGACCUACGGGUGAAAGCAGGGGAUCUUCGGACCUUGCGCGAUUGAAUGGGCUGGUGUCGGAUUAGCUAGUUGGCGGGGUAGAGGCCUACCAAGGCGAUGAUGGGUAGCUGGCCUGAGAGGGUGACCGGCGACAUUGGGACUGAGAUACGGCCCAGACUCAUACGGGAGGAAGCAGUGGGGAAUAUUGCAAAAUGGGCGGAAGCCUGAUGCAGCAACGCCGCGUGCGGGAUGACGGCCUUCGGGUUGUAAACCGAUUUCGCCUGUGACGAAGCGUGAGUGACGGUAAUGGGUAAAGAAGCACCGGCUAACUACGUG
Molecule: ribosomal RNA, 472 nt
Filed under: uncultured bacterium
Lineage: Bacteria
Description: partial 16S ribosomal RNA
Rfam family: Bacterial small subunit ribosomal RNA
Source: RNAcentral